GUGCUUGCUUCAGCAACACAUAUACUAAAAUUGGAAAAAUGCAGAGAAGAUUAGUUUGGCCCCUGUGCAAGGAAGACACACACAUUAGUGAAGCGUUCCAUAUUUUU
Small nuclear RNA from Echinops telfairi (small Madagascar hedgehog), 107 nucleotides. NCBI's taxonomy places the organism in Eukaryota, Metazoa, Chordata, Mammalia, Afrosoricida, Tenrecidae. The record is from Ensembl.